RNAcentral lists this ribosomal RNA (387 nucleotides) under uncultured Bacillota bacterium. Its description in RNAcentral is "bacterial SSU rRNA". It matches the Rfam family "Bacterial small subunit ribosomal RNA", at positions 470 to 855 of the family's 1533-position model. Lineage: Bacteria; Bacillati; Bacillota. The record is from RNAcentral.
UGACGGUACCUAACCAGAAAGCCACGGCUAACUACGUGCCAGCAGCCGCGGUAAUACGUAGGUGGCAAGCGUUAUCCGGAAUUAUUGGGCGUAAAGCGCGCGCAGGUGGUUUCUUAAGUCUGAUGUGAAAGCCCACGGCUCAACCGUGGAGGGUCAUUGGAAACUGGGAGACUUGAGUGCAGAAGAGGAAAGUGGAAUUCCAUGUGUAGCGGUGAAAUGCGUAGAGAUAUGGAGGAACACCAGUGGCGAAGGCGACUUUCUGGUCUGUAACUGACACUGAGGCGCGAAAGCGUGGGGAGCAAACAGGAUUAGAUACCCUGGUAGUCCACGCCGUAAACGAUGAGUGCUAAGUGUUAGAGGGUUUCCGUCCUUUAGUGCUGAAGUUAA